GUACAGGGAAUUAGGGUUCGAUUCUGGAGAAGGAGCCUGAGAAACGGCUACUACAUCUACGGAAGGCAGCAGGCGCGUAAAUUACCCAAUCCUGACUCAGGGAGGUGGUGACAAGAUAUAACAACGCGAUUAUAAUCCCCAUUGGAAGGGGGGGUUUCUAAAAAAAACCCUAUAUACCAAUUGGGGGGAAGAAA
RNAcentral lists this ribosomal RNA (194 nucleotides) under uncultured rumen protozoa. RNAcentral describes it as "partial 18S ribosomal RNA". It matches the Rfam family "Eukaryotic small subunit ribosomal RNA", at positions 359 to 562 of the family's 1831-position model. The record is from RNAcentral.